RNAcentral lists this ribosomal RNA (405 nucleotides) under uncultured Edaphobacter sp. RNAcentral's name for it is "bacterial SSU rRNA". It matches the Rfam family "Bacterial small subunit ribosomal RNA", at positions 354 to 776 of the family's 1533-position model. The record is from RNAcentral. Lineage: Bacteria; Pseudomonadati; Acidobacteriota; Terriglobia; Terriglobales; Acidobacteriaceae.
GUGGGGAAUUUUGCGCAAUGGGGGAAACCCUGACGCAGCAACGCCGCGUGGAGGAUGAAAUCCCUUGGGAUGUAAACUCCUUUCGACUGGGAAGAUAAUGACGGUACCAGGAGAAGAAGCCCCGGCUAACUUCGUGCCAGCAGCCGCGGUAAUACGAGGGGGGCAAGCGUUGUUCGGAAUUAUUGGGCGUAAAGGGCGCGUAGGCGGUUUGACAAGUCUUGUGUGAAAUCUCUGGGCUCAACCCAGAGUCUGCACGGGAAACUGUCGGGCUAGAGGAUGGGAGAGGUGAGUGGAAUUUCCGGUGUAGCGGUGAAAUGCGUAGAUAUCGGAAGGAACACCUGUGGCGAAAGCGGCUCACUGGACCAUAUCUGACGCUGAGGCGCGAAAGCUAGGGGAGCAAACAGG